CAGUAGCCGCGGGAAUACGUAGGUGGCAAGCGUUGUCCGGAAUUAUUGGGCGUAAAGGGCUCGCAGGCGGUUUCUUAAGUCUGAUGUGAAAGCCCCCGGCUCAACCGGGGAGGGUCAUUGGAAACUGGGAAACUUGAGUGCGGAAGAGGAGAGUGGAAUUCCACGUGUAGCGGUGAAAUGCGUAGAGAUGUGGAGGAACACCAGUGGCGAAGGCGACUCUCUGGUCUGUAACUGACGCUGAGGAGCGAAAGCGUGGGGAGCGAACAGGAUUAGAUACCCGCGUAGUCCCUGUCUCUUAUAC
This 301-nucleotide ribosomal RNA is filed under the name uncultured bacterium. Its description in RNAcentral is "partial 16S ribosomal RNA". It matches the Rfam family "Bacterial small subunit ribosomal RNA", at positions 509 to 807 of the family's 1533-position model. The record is from RNAcentral.